AAGAAAUUAACAAAGAUUUCCUUAGUAACGGCGAGUGAAAGGGAAUGAGUUCAGCACCGAAUCCCUUAGCCGAUGGUUAAGGGAGCUGUGGUGUGAAGGAGAGUCAAUCCAAUCAGGUUCUAUAUCUCAGAAGAUCCCUUGAAUGGGGCCCCAAAGCAGGUGCGAGGCCUGUAACGAGGUGGAGCCUGGUGGUAUGAACCUCCAUAGAGUCGGGUUACUUGAGAGUGUAGCCCUAAGUGGAAGGUAAACCCCUUCUAAAGCUAAAUAUGACCACGAGGCCGAUAGCGAACAAGUACUGCGAGGGAAAGUUGAAAAGAACUUUGAAGAGAGAGUUCAAAAGGGCGUGAAACCGCUUAGAAUAAAACGGACGGAGCUGUAUAAGGCCUUUGGGAAUCAGUCAUGCGAUUUUGCGAAGGUAUUCUGGUUAGAGCGAAAAGUCUGACUGGGGUAUUAGUAGUAGCAAUCGUUUGGUGCAUUUCCUGAGGGUGAGCACUGCGACCAGUACGGAAGGCCAGUGAAGCGAUUGGAUUGAGGUCGAGUCCCGCAAGGGACUUGCUACCAGUCCUUUCGCCCAUAGUCGCUGGACCGCCAAUAAGUACUGAGUGCCGUUAAAGUGUACUGGCGAAAGCGCUCAUCGAGUAAUGGAUAGUUAGCCAAUAAGUUGUUUCUUGCUUGCAGGGACUGACUGAUUCGGUUGACUUUGAGGUUACUGGUGACAUUCCAGUACAAGGGCGUCAGCAGUGUCAGUGUCAGCCACCUGUCUGACCCGCCUUGAAACACGGACCAAGGAGUCUAACAUAUGCGCGAGUUACUGGGUGGAAAACCCAAAGGCGCAAUAAAAGUAAAGGCUGUUUUAGAAUGGCUAAGAUACGAUCCUGGUUGUCUAAGGACUCCAGGCGCAGUAUCGUCCCAUCUCAACCGCAUAUCGGUAGGGCGGAGACAGAGCGUACAUGUUGGGACCCAAAAGAUGGUGAACUAUGCCUGAGUAGAGUGAAGCCAGAGGAAACUCUGGUGGAAGUUCGUAGCAGUUCUGAUGUGCAAAUCGAUCGUCAAACUUGGGUAU
This 1063-nucleotide ribosomal RNA is filed under the name Discolaimoides symmetricus. Its description in RNAcentral is "LSU rRNA". It matches the Rfam family "Eukaryotic large subunit ribosomal RNA", at positions 59 to 918 of the family's 3401-position model. The record is from RNAcentral. Lineage: Eukaryota; Metazoa; Nematoda; Enoplea; Dorylaimida; Qudsianematidae.